This 254-nucleotide ribosomal RNA is filed under the name uncultured bacterium. Its description in RNAcentral is "partial 16S ribosomal RNA". It matches the Rfam family "Bacterial small subunit ribosomal RNA", at positions 524 to 776 of the family's 1533-position model. The record is from RNAcentral.
UACAGAGGGUGCAAGCGUUGUUCGGAAUUACUGGGCGUAAAGCGCGUGUAGGCGGCGGCGUAAGUCGGGUGUGAAAUCCCUCAGCUCAACUGAGGAAGUGCACUCGAUACUGUGUCGCUUGAAUGUCGGAGGGGAUGGCGGAAUUCCCGGUGUAGAGGUGAAAUUCGUAGAUAUCGGGGAGGAACACCUGUGGCGAAGGCGGCCAUCUGGACGACAAUUGACGCUGAGACGCGAAAGCGUGGGUAGCAAACAGG